This 58-nucleotide transfer RNA is filed under the name Cylicostephanus minutus. Its description in RNAcentral is "tRNA-Trp". Lineage: Eukaryota; Metazoa; Nematoda; Chromadorea; Rhabditida; Strongylidae. The record is from RNAcentral.
AUAGAUUUAAGUUAAAUUUUAAACUAUUAAUUUUCAAAAUUAAAAAUAUUAAUCUAUA